Molecule: ribosomal RNA, 425 nt
Filed under: uncultured bacterium
Lineage: Bacteria
Description: partial 16S ribosomal RNA
Rfam family: Bacterial small subunit ribosomal RNA
Source: RNAcentral
GUGGGGAAUCUUGCGCAAUGGGCGAAAGCCUGACGCAGCCAUGCCGCGUGAAUGAUGAAGGUCUUAGGAUUGUAAAAUUCUUUCACCGGGGACGAUAAUGACGGUACCCGGAGAAGAAGCCCCGGCUAACUUCGUGCCAGCAGCCGCGGUAAUACGAAGGGGGCUAGCGUUGCUCGGAAUUACUGGGCGUAAAGGGCGCGUAGGCGGACAGUUUAGUCAGAGGUGAACGCCCAGGGCUCAACCUUGGAAUUGCCUUUGAUACUGGCUGUCUUGAGUACGGGAGAGGUGAGUGGAACUCCGAGUGUAGAGGUGAAAUUCGUAGAUAUUCGGAAGAACACCAGUGGCGAAGGCGACUCACUGGCCCAAUACUGACGCUGAGGCGCGAAAGCGUGGGGAGCAAACAGGAUUAGAAACCCGGGUAGUCC